RNAcentral lists this microRNA precursor (96 nucleotides) under Fukomys damarensis (Damara mole-rat). RNAcentral describes it as "miRNA (ENSFDAG00000020334.1)". The record is from RNAcentral. Lineage: Eukaryota; Metazoa; Chordata; Mammalia; Rodentia; Bathyergidae.
AUACAUCUAUAAACUAUUGUUGACAUUUGGUCAGAUAAAAUUGUACAUUCCCAGAACACACAUACUUAUAUGAUAUGCUGUGUGUGUGUGUGUGUA